CGGAGGGGCGAGCGUUACUCGUAAGUAUUGGGCGUAAAGGGUUUGUAGGUGGCUCCGUUCGAGCUAGUCCGAGGUCGACCCGGGUGGACCACCCGGUCGGAUCGACCAGAAGUACCGAGUAGUCCGGAGGUACAAGGUACCCUUGAUGGAGGGUAGAAUCCAAAAGAUCAAUGGGGACCCCCGCGGCGAAGGCGUUGCACCCGGACCUCCAACACUGAAGAACGAAAGCGUGGGAGCGAACAGGAUU
This 247-nucleotide ribosomal RNA is filed under the name uncultured bacterium. RNAcentral describes it as "partial 16S ribosomal RNA". It matches the Rfam family "Bacterial small subunit ribosomal RNA", at positions 527 to 779 of the family's 1533-position model. The record is from RNAcentral.